CAACCUCCAGGGUGGAAAUGCUGAAUUCUGCUUAACAGAAUCUAAUUAAUAAAAUGUAAGCUUCAUUUUAGCAAGGGAGAAGCGGUAGAAGAGAAGAUGUCUAAUAAAACUUUUGGAGCUCCAGAGAAUGAUGAAAAAGACUAUGAAUCCAAUUGCAUGGGCUUCUCAGAUUAGACCAGAGUUGCCUCUUUGCAUCAGAAGCAAUCUGUUAAGAAAUUCCUACUGCUUUCCCUGAG
This is a non-coding RNA of Callorhinus ursinus (northern fur seal), 236 nucleotides long. The record is from RefSeq and is a predicted model, not a curated record. Lineage: Eukaryota; Metazoa; Chordata; Mammalia; Carnivora; Otariidae.